GAUGAACGCUGGCGGCGUGCCUAAUACAUGCAAGUCGAGCGAACAGAUGAGGAGCUUGCUCCUCUGACGUUAGCGGCGGACGGGUGAGUGACACGUGGAUAACCUACCUAUAAGACUGGGAUAACUUCGGGAAACCGGAGCUAAUACCGGAUAAUAUAUUGAACCGCAUGGUUCAAUAGUGAAAGACGGUUUUGCUGUCACUUAUAGAUGGAUCCGCGCCGCAUUAGCUAGUUGGUAAGGUAACGGCUUACCAAGGCAACGAUGCGUAGCCGACCUGAGAGGGUGAUCGGCCACACUGGAACUGAGACAUGGUCCAGACUCCUACGGGAGGCAGCAGUAGGGAAUCUUCCGCAAUGGGCGAAAGCCUGACGGAGCAACGCCGCGUGAGUGAUGAAGGUCUUCGGAUCGUAAAACUCUGUUAUUAGGGAAGAACAAAUGUGUAAGUAACUAUGCACGUCUUGACGGUACCUAAUCAGAAAGCCACGGCUAACUACGUG
Molecule: ribosomal RNA, 497 nt
Filed under: uncultured bacterium
Lineage: Bacteria
Description: partial 16S ribosomal RNA
Rfam family: Bacterial small subunit ribosomal RNA
Source: RNAcentral